UACGGGGGGAUCAAGCGUUGUUCGGAUUUAUUGGGCGUAAAGGGUGCGUAGGCGGCGCGGUAAGUCGGGUGUGAAAUCUCGGAGCUUAACUCCGAAACUGCAUUCGAUACUGCCGUGCUUGAGGACUGGAGAGGAGACUGGAAUUUACGGUGUAGCGGUGAAAUGCGUAGAUAUCGUAAGGAAGACCAGUGGCGAAGGCGGGUCUCUGGACAGUUCCUGACGCUGAGGCACGAAGGUCAGGGGAGCAAACGGG
RNAcentral lists this ribosomal RNA (253 nucleotides) under uncultured bacterium. RNAcentral's name for it is "partial 16S ribosomal RNA". It matches the Rfam family "Bacterial small subunit ribosomal RNA", at positions 524 to 776 of the family's 1533-position model. The record is from RNAcentral.